AUUUUCGCUCACUUUAGGGUUUGUUCACAGUAGGGGUGGAGCCAACUCGAAUACGGUAUUCGGAAAGACACAAAUAACGUGUUUUUCACGAAUACUUUAAAAAAUAUUUGUAUACGGGAACAAGAAAAACUUUAUAUCAAAAAGCUUCCUUAUGAGACCGCACUGCAUGCCCGGAUGAGUGAGUGACGUGUAAAAGGUGACUGACACCGGCUGCUCCACACAGCAACAGAGAAGCCUCGGCUAAGCCUUGAAAGACUGAACUGCAUCACUAUUUUUGAUCAAUAGAUUUUUUUUUAACCUUAACUGGGUUCCGGAGGCAGUUUAUAACUUUCACGAAGAUCGGGAGAUUGAUCAAUUACGCUGCACUAUUGACGCCUGCAGUCGGGUGCUCUCAUGUUCGCUCUGUUUACGUAGCUCUGUUAGCUGACAUGGCUGGUAAGGACAUGAGGAGGAAACAGGAGGAGCUGUGUGAGGCUACUAAAGGCAGUGGAACCCUCACCAGCUGGAUUACAAACAGCACAGAUGGACAGCAAGUGGAGAGUGAUAGAUGAGAUGAGGAGAUGAAGGAGGAAGACGACAAGGCCACCUCACAACAGUGAUGUAGUAUGAUGCGAUCCCAUAUUAGAUUCUUGAUGAAUGUGUGUUGUUGUUAUUCAGCCUGGUUCAAUGUGCCCCUUUUUAACUUUGAGCACCCGCCCCUUUAAACGUCUCUGCACGGCCCUGUUCUGUCUUUUACAGACAGCAAGAUAUAGGGGGUGUCCAAAUUCUUGGGCUGCAUCCUCCUGAGGACGCAUUUGUAGGCCGAUUACGUCACAGCGACGUGACGAAGGCUGUCCAAAUUCGUCGACUCCUCUGAAUG
This is a long non-coding RNA of Oreochromis aureus, 859 nucleotides long. RefSeq lists it as uncharacterized. NCBI's taxonomy places the organism in Eukaryota, Metazoa, Chordata, Actinopteri, Cichliformes, Cichlidae. The record is from RefSeq and is a predicted model, not a curated record. The transcript is spliced from 3 exons.